ACCCGUCUAGCUCCAGUUGGUAGAGCGCUGGCCUUUUAAGCCAGUGGUCGUGGGUUCGAGCCCCACGGGGGGUG
RNAcentral lists this transfer RNA (74 nucleotides) under Hyaloperonospora arabidopsidis Emoy2. RNAcentral's name for it is "Hyaloperonospora arabidopsidis tRNA-Lys for anticodon UUU". It matches the Rfam family "tRNA". Rfam says of the family: Transfer RNA (tRNA) molecules are approximately 80 nucleotides in length. Their secondary structure includes four short double-helical elements and three loops (D, anti-codon, and T loops). The record is from Rfam by way of RNAcentral. Lineage: Eukaryota; Oomycota; Peronosporomycetes; Peronosporales; Peronosporaceae.